AUUAAAAUAAUAAUAAUAAAUUAAUCUACUAUUUAGUAAAGAAGAAUAAGGAUGUACCUACUCCACCUGCUCUUAUGUCUGGUCUCUGUUCUCCAACACUCCAUACAACAGGCAGCUGGAUAGUUCCUGAGCUCACUAAGAUCUUGUCUAGAUCACGUCACUUCAUCAGCUCCUCUGUGAAUAGUUUCUUCAUUACUUACUUCAGAAUUCAGCUGAGUGUGUCUUCUCUCCGCUCUCAUGAGCCUGACUAAAAGGGAACUGAGGGUAGGACGUCAAACCACAAGCUGAGAAUCUAACUUCUUGUGAGGGUGGGG
Molecule: long non-coding RNA, 314 nt
Organism: Heterocephalus glaber (naked mole-rat)
Lineage: Eukaryota; Metazoa; Chordata; Mammalia; Rodentia; Bathyergidae
Source: Ensembl